GGANACGUUGGCUGUGUGACUAAGGUAUGCUAGUCGGACGAUCCCUUUGAAUUACUUGAGACUUCGGUUGAUUGUUUUUCUUUUUGGGAUAGUGGCAAACGGGCGAGUAACAUGUGGAUUAUCUGCCCUGAAGACGGGAAUAGCUCAUCGAAAGAUGGGGUAAUACUCGAUAGCCUUACAUUCUUUUAGUAUGUAAGUAAAGCUUUUGCGCUUCAGGAGGAGUCCGCAUCCUAUCAGCUUGUUGGUGAGGUAAUGGCUCACCAAGGCUAAGACGGGUAGCUGGCGUGAGAGCGCGGUCAGCCACCAUGGGAACUGAGACACGGUCCAUACUCCUACGGGAGGCAGCAAUUAGGAAUCUUGCGCAAUGGGGGCAACCCUGACGCAGCGACACAGCGUGGAGGAUGAAGGUCUUCGGAUUGUAAACUCCUUUUAUAUGGGAAGAAUAGAUGACUGUACCAUAUGAAUAAGGACCUGCUAACUACGUGCCAGAAGCAUCGGUGAUGCGUAGGGUCCGAACGUUAUCCGGAUUUAUUGGGUGUAUGGAGAUGCGUAGGCGGUUUGAUAAGUCUUAAGUUAAAGACCUCGGCUCAACCGAGGAAAAGCUUUCGAUACUAUCAGACUUGAGGCAUAGAGGGGUGAACGGGAAUUCCGAGUAGAGUGGUGAAAUACGUUGAUAUUCGGAGGAACAUCAGUGGCGAAGGCGGUUCACUGGCUAUUGCCUGACGCUCAGGCUCGAAAGCGUGGGUAGCAAAACGGAUUAGAUACCCGUGUAGUCCACGCUGUAAACUAUGGNAUGCUAGGUGUUCGGUACAACUGU
Molecule: ribosomal RNA, 817 nt
Filed under: uncultured bacterium
Lineage: Bacteria
Description: bacterial SSU rRNA
Rfam family: Bacterial small subunit ribosomal RNA
Source: RNAcentral